UUAACACAACUACCACCACAAGCAAAGAGAGGUUUGGGCUCAAGAGAAAAACAGGGACAAGUCUUGUGUAUUUGAUCAACAAAGAGGUAAGGGUUAGAAUAGUUAGAUAUUGAUUUUAGCUGUAUUUGGUGAAUAAAUGACAGAAACCUUUUCAUUGAGUAUGCUUAUUCUCAAAUAAGUUAGGCUACAUAAUAUAUUUAUUGACCAGUCAGCUGCUUGAUUCUUGGAUCUGUAUGUGAAUGAUUGUUGCUUUCUUAAUCAGCAGUUUACUUUGUAGUGGUAAAUGGUAAUGUUCUAAUAAACAAAAAUCAAGUACUAAUGGGGACUAUUAUUCAUUUGUCUAGAGUAGUUUACUGAUUUCAUGUUAAUUAUUUUUGUU
This is a non-coding RNA of Arachis ipaensis, 379 nucleotides long. The record is from RefSeq and is a predicted model, not a curated record. NCBI's taxonomy places the organism in Eukaryota, Viridiplantae, Streptophyta, Magnoliopsida, Fabales, Fabaceae.